This is a long non-coding RNA of Passer domesticus (house sparrow), 2564 nucleotides long. RefSeq lists it as uncharacterized. Lineage: Eukaryota; Metazoa; Chordata; Aves; Passeriformes; Passeridae. The transcript is spliced from 6 exons. The record is from RefSeq and is a predicted model, not a curated record.
CCGGGGCCUCCGCCACAGCCCCACCGCCCCACUGGGGCACUCUGGGAAAACACAGCUGAUAAACAGCACAACAAAGACAGAGAAGCGUUCCUGCAAACACUGCAGGAGGGGGAGAAGCCGCAGGUACUGGAGGAGCCAUCCCCCCAGCCCACGGGCAGCGAUGGUGGGGCUGCAGCCUGUGGAGUGUUCGUGAUGGACAGCGGUCUGUUUCUUCCCUGUCUCCUGACCUCAGCUCCAAAUUGAAAACUCCAUCAGGCAUGUGUGUAUGAUUCCAAAUGCAAUUUGCAUCUGCUCUUCAGAUUGCAAGGUGGGCCAUGCUGAUUGCUGUCACCUCAGCCCCUGGACAGCAAGGAAGCAGCUUUAUGGGCAUGCACCAUGUUUCACAUCCUCUUCUGGAUGAGGGCAGACACGGAUCAAAGGAAAGGAAUGAAGACUGCCUGCCUCUACCACAAAACAUUUUCUGGAGGAUUUGAAGCAUCUUUGAAUAGGGAAUCAGAGAAUUUGCAAGGAUUGGAAUGGAGAAGUCUAAAGGAACAAUAAAGCAUUUGCCAGAAAUCUGCCAGAUGAAAGAUUUUCAAAGAAAAUUUUGAAUGUUAGCUGCUGCAAAAGCAGAGAAGACUGUCUUGAAACUCAGAGAUGGACGGGACACAGCAGAUUUCUGCAUCUACACAUCUUAUGUAAAAUCUGUAAAGAGCAGGCAGCUGUCAGCAAGAGCUGGAGACUUCAACCAAAGUAUGUAGAGCACCACCAACAUGUUCAUGUGUGUAAUUCAGCCUUAUAUCUGAAUACAAGAAUAUACUCAUCAUAGAUUAACUGUAAUUGAGGUGUCUACUAUUUGCCAUUCAUUAUAUCAAUUUACUAUAUUCUUUGGAAUAAUGGUCAUGUCAGUAGAAGCACAUCUGAAGAUACACUGUAUAUUCCCUCUGAGGUAAUAGGGCUGCUGUGUGCUAAGCUAGCUGGGACUUCAAAUAAUAUUCAUUUAACCUGAAUAUUGCAUUUUGAGCAAGUUUCCCACUCUUGUCUAUGUUGUCAAUCUAUAUCAGUUGUCUGUGUUUUACUGAACACAGUUAAGUCAAAUUAUUUCUUUAUUGUCCAAAGAACAUCUGAACUUUAGGAUAAAAGAGAUGGCAUGCUUCUGAUAGGGCAGAAUAGUUAUAGCUUGAAGGAACAUGCUCUAUUGCUAGGGACAAAGGUGUUCUUCACAGAAUAUUUGGCUUCUUCUCUGUUUAAGUUUUGAGACCAUAUUCCACAGACAUAAAUAUUCUUUUAAACUACAUUGGCUAGUGAACAUAUUUUUCAGUGUUCAGUGAUUCUGGUUACUUAGUGUUCCAAACUGUUUCUCUUCAAGCUAUGAUUUUCUACUACACUACAAGAAACAAUGUUUUGAUGUUGUAAUUGGUACAAAUGGAAACUCUGCAGCUUUAUUUCAUGACUAAGUUGGUGCAUUUCUGGCUAUAUAUAUACUUUGCUCUUUGUUUUGUAUUAAAGUUUUUCAGACGAUGCCCUGAGAGUGCUUUAAAAUGCUACAGCUGAGGAGGGAAUGUGAGUCUUGGGUGUUGGAGUGUAGGACACUGCCUUAGGGCUGGAUAGCAGGAUCUGCUGUGCCAGACUCUUGCUGGCAGCAUUUCCCUGGCACUGUCUGCUCAUUAGGGCUCUGCUUCUAUAGCACACUUAAACACAAGGAAAAGUUCACCCUGCCAAUGGACAAAGAUAAACAUAUAGUCCUGUUAAAGUUAAGCAUGUGCUUAUGAGCUUCACUAAAUUUUGGAUAAUGAGAGAUGAUGCCUGUGUGUACAAAGGUGUCAGAGAAGCUGCCCCAGGGACCUGUUUACCUUUUGCUCAUUAUUUGUGUUAUUUCUGAGGGCUACAGAUACUGCUGCUUGUUAUCCACCUCACUGACAUUUCCUAGUUGUUCUUCCAAGUGCUGCUAAAAAGAAAAGCUGAGAUUUUGGAACACUAGUGAGUGCCAGUGAUUGAAUUCCAUAGCCCCAGGACUGUGGAUGUGGAGAGACCAGCAUAUAAAGAGGGGGGAAAAAAACCCCAAGCAUUUUUUUCUUGUACAUGUGGCAUUGCCCAGUUUCUCAGGACAGCAAAGGAGAGUGAGAGAGAAUAGACAUUUUCUACCAAACAGAGUAUAAUAUUGAAAAGUAUGCUAAACACCGAAAAUUAAAGAAAACUGUAUUUUCAUGUUUCAUCAGUGAGAAGGGACAAGGAAAGACCUUGGAGGCAGGAGAAUUUUCAAAUAAGAAAACUCUGUAAAAUUGCUUACUCUCCAAAAAGAUUGUGUGAAAUGGUUGUUUUGCUUCUGUAAAGCAUGCAUCAUGUACCCAAAGGCUGUGCUCCCUGGCAAGAGAAGUAUUUCCAGCCCCCCACUAACAGAAGCACACUGCCACUCCUGAUAAGAAAUCUGCCUUGUAGUAGUAGAGGGUUUCUGAUGCAGAAAGUGCAUCUGUAGUGUCUGCCCCAAAGGCUCUUGUCACUGCAGCCAAGAUUUAGCUUUAGCAUUAAUACUGAUUUGCUCUACCAUCAGUUUUUACCAGCUUUUAAUUUUUAAUGUGUUUCAU